This 737-nucleotide long non-coding RNA is filed under the name Trifolium pratense (red clover). RNAcentral describes it as "long non-coding RNA (TPRA_LNC012803)". Lineage: Eukaryota; Viridiplantae; Streptophyta; Magnoliopsida; Fabales; Fabaceae. The record is from RNAcentral.
UAAAGUGAAAAUGCUACUUUAAUUUCACCAAUCAUAGAGUGUUAAAAAGGGACUAUAUCCAUACAACGCAUUAAAAAUUCUAAAAGGGAUCUCAUUGGAACAUACAUUUAUAUAUUUUUUUCAUUAAUAUAUAAAAUUUAUAAUUCAAACAAAAUAAUUUGAGUUUUGAGUUGGUGAUGAAUUUCUAUGUUGAGUUUGAGAGAAACAAAAAGAAGAAGGAACAAGAAGAGGAAAUACAUUAGAAGAAAAGAAAGUUUAAAUCAUGGUUUUCCUUUCUUUCUUGAUUAUACGUUUGUUUUGUGGAAGAGUUGUUUCAGUUUAUUCUUUUUGUUGUUACUUUUAUUUAUCCCACGAAAUUAUUAGUUGGAAGUUGGAACCAAAAUCGUUGAAACAUUUGGGAAAAGUCUUUAGAAUUUUAGUAAAAAAAUAAGGUGAAGACCAAGACUGGGAAAAGUCUUUUGAAACAUUCGGCAUCAAAGAUAUUUUAAGCAGAGGCAAGGCCAAGGAGAAAGAUCCAAAACGUCUUUUUGUUAAUUUGUACGUAGAUAGGCGUCUUGUUAAUUUAACUAUUCUUUUUUCACCCUUUGUGAAAGGGGCAGGACAGAUUAUUAUUUUAAUUUUUUCUUUGAAAAAUACCAAAUCACGUAUUUGGAUAAAUAAUAAUCGAGGAUAAUAUUAUAUGUAAAUAUUUUUUUUGAAAUGGCUAUUAUACGUAAAUAUUAUAUUUUUUACCGGAG